AAUUUAGACACGACGACUUAGUAGAUUCUUAAAAAUUAGAACAUGAACACAAUGUAAUACUGCUAACAAAAUAUAAUAUUAGCAAUAUUAUAAUAAUAUAUAUUUAUUAUAUAUAAAAUAUUAAUUUUGCUAAAAUAUCGUUAUAUUUUUAUAGGAAUGAUAGUUUUUUUUUUUUUAGAGAAUAGAUAGCACGCUACCUGCUUCAUUCAUUGAAUGGAUGAAUUAGGCUUCAUAGAAAUGAUAGUUAAUAAAAUUGUUGUUAAUAGUUUAUAUAUUUUUAGUAUGAAAAUUUUUCACCACCAUUCAUAAUUUAUUUAUAUUGUCUAAAAAAAUUUCGUAUACAUUCAUUAAAAGCCAAAAUAUGAUAUUUGUAUAAAAAAAUAAAAUAAAAAAUAUUUUUUGAUGGGUUGCAACAUGGACUCAUACCAAGCACAUGACCAUAGCAUAUCUGCGAACACAAGUCUGACACAAACAUACGCGCAAACACGCAAGAUUUAAAAAAGUGUCUGUAAUGCAUAGUUUUAUACUUUUAUGUGAUGAUUUUGAAGAAAC
This 552-nucleotide long non-coding RNA is filed under the name Ananas comosus (pineapple). RNAcentral describes it as "long non-coding RNA (ACOM_LNC028727)". Lineage: Eukaryota; Viridiplantae; Streptophyta; Magnoliopsida; Poales; Bromeliaceae. The record is from RNAcentral.